AAAGUUUUAUCUCCAUUCCAAUUCUCUACAUUUCCUAAACUCUUUCCUUCUCAUUCUAAAUAGUACUCUCCUUCUCCAACAAUCAUGUGGGGCACUAUGAUCAUAAAUCAAGAUUUGAGGGGAUUUGCUCUUGCUGUUCUAAUGCAUGUGUUCUCUGAUGAAGCUACGGCUCUUCAUUAUCUCGUACCAGUUCUUGCAGACGC
Molecule: long non-coding RNA, 203 nt
Filed under: Nicotiana benthamiana
Lineage: Eukaryota; Viridiplantae; Streptophyta; Magnoliopsida; Solanales; Solanaceae
Description: long non-coding RNA (NBEN_LNC000119)
Source: RNAcentral